GAGGCAUGACAGAUGGAGUCACAGAGACAGCAGCGGUAGCAGCAGCUGGAUCAGCGAUGGACACAGCUGCUGAUGACAGAACCUACAAAAGAGGUGUUUGGAUGUAAGAUGAGAUCGUCAGCUAUAAUGGAGGUGGUGGCAGUCUCCCGAAUAGCUCCUGAGUUGAGAUAUACUGCGAUGGCGAGGAGAUCUGCAUAGUUGGCUACUCUUCAUAUUGAUCAGGUCGUGCAGAGGAUUAGAGCUCGAUGCAAAGCGGUGCUCAUCAAGGCUUUGGGGGCAUCAGGAUGGAGAUUAUAAGAUUUUAUGGUGCCCCCAUAGUCUUGGAGGUGACCACAAGUGGAGUCAGGUCGAUAGGCUCUAGGUUCGCUAUGACGGGAACAGUCAUAGGCUAGGGUGGAGGUUCGACCCUCCAUGGGAUUUGAUGGAGGCCCUCCAUGGGAUGUGAUGGAGGUCGGCUGCAGCAUUUGCAAGGCCUAG
RNAcentral lists this long non-coding RNA (477 nucleotides) under Elaeis guineensis (African oil palm). RNAcentral describes it as "long non-coding RNA (EGUI_LNC055803)". Lineage: Eukaryota; Viridiplantae; Streptophyta; Magnoliopsida; Arecales; Arecaceae. The record is from RNAcentral.